AUUGAACGCUGGCGGCAGGCUUAACACAUGCAAGUCGAGCGGGGUGAUGGUGCUUGCACUAUCACUUAGCGGCGGACGGGUGAGUAAUGCUUAGGAAUCUGCCUAUUAGUGGGGGACAACAUCUCGAAAGGGAUGCUAAUACCGCAUACGUCCUACGGGAGAAAGCAGGGGAUCACUUGUGACCUUGCGCUAAUAGAUGAGCCUAAGUCGGAUUGGCUAGUUGGUGGGGUAAAGGCCUACCAAGGCGACGAUCUGUAGCGGGUCUGAGAGGAUGACGCGCCACAGUGGGAGAGAGACCAGGCGGAGAGUCCAUCGGGGGGAACGGGUGGGGAUUAUGGGAAAAGGGGGGUAACCCGGAGCCACAGAUGCCGUGUUAGUGAAGGAGGCCUUUUGGGUGUAAAACCCUUUAGGCGAGGAGGAGGCUUUUUUGUUUAAGACCAAAGAGGUGUGGACGUUACCCGCAGAAUAAGCACCGGUUAACUCUGUGCCAGCCGCCGCGGUAA
This 503-nucleotide ribosomal RNA is filed under the name uncultured bacterium. Its description in RNAcentral is "partial 16S ribosomal RNA". It matches the Rfam family "Bacterial small subunit ribosomal RNA", at positions 30 to 523 of the family's 1533-position model. The record is from RNAcentral.